Molecule: ribosomal RNA, 197 nt
Filed under: uncultured bacterium
Lineage: Bacteria
Description: partial 16S ribosomal RNA
Rfam family: Bacterial small subunit ribosomal RNA
Source: RNAcentral
ACGCUCGACACCUACGAGAGGCAGCAGUGGGGAAUAUUGCACAAUGGAGGAAACUCUGAUGCAGCGAUGCCGCGUGGGGAAGAAGGUUUUCGGAUUGUAAACCUCUGUCUUUGGGGACGAUAAUGACGGUACCCAAGGAGGAAGCUCCGGCUAACUACGUGCUAGCAGCCGCGGUAAUCUGAGCGGGCUGGCAAGGC